GGGGAAUUUUGGACAAUGGACGAAAGUCUGAUCCAGCCAUUCCGCGUGCAGGAUGAAGGCCCUCGGGUUGUAAACUGCUUUUGUACGGAACGAAAAGGUCUCUCCUAAUACGAGAGGCUCAUGACGGUACCGUAAGAAUAAGCACCGGCUAACUACGUGCCAGCAGCCGCGGUAAUAA
Molecule: ribosomal RNA, 178 nt
Filed under: uncultured beta proteobacterium
Lineage: Bacteria; Pseudomonadati; Pseudomonadota; Betaproteobacteria
Description: partial 16S ribosomal RNA
Rfam family: Bacterial small subunit ribosomal RNA
Source: RNAcentral